UUCCCUAUCUCUCUUCUAAUUACUGCCAUGUCCCUCGAUGCAGUUCAUCACAGCAGGUUUGUUAAUGUCGGAGAAGAGAUUAUCUAACCAAUAAAUUUCAAGUUUGUACGUCUCAAGAUGACACUAAGCUAAAAGUUCCUUUAGUUUAGUGGUAUAAAUGUUGGUGUUUACAUCACAGUAACCCGGGUUCGAGCCACAGACU
This 202-nucleotide long non-coding RNA is filed under the name Brassica napus (rape). RNAcentral's name for it is "long non-coding RNA (BNAP_LNC026246)". The record is from RNAcentral. Lineage: Eukaryota; Viridiplantae; Streptophyta; Magnoliopsida; Brassicales; Brassicaceae.